GGUGCACCCAGAAACCCUUUGUGAACUUAUACCUAAAUCGUUGCCUCGGCGCUGAGCUGCCCUCCCCCCGGGGAGGGGCCCCUCCACUGGACUCGUGCCUGUGGCGGACAGCAGGCCCGCCGGUGGCCCAACAAACUCUUGUAUUUACCGAGUAAAUCUGAGAAAAAGCUUCUAAAUGAAUCAAAACUUUCAACAACGGAUCUCUUGGUUCUGGCAUCGAUGAAGAACGCAGCGAAAUGCGAUAAGUAAUGUGAAUUGCAGAAUUCAGUGAAUCAUCGAAUCUUUGAACGCACAUUGCGCCCUCUGGCAUUCCAGAGGGCAUGCCUGUUCGAGCGUCAUUUCAACCCUCAAGCCUAGCUUGGUGUUGGGGCAUUACCUUUUCCCUCCGGGGAGGGAAGCCCUGAAAUUCAGUGGCGAGCUCGCCAGGACUCCGAGCGCAGUAGUGUAAACCUCGCUUUGGAUAGUACUGGCGCGGCCCUGCCGUAAAACCCCCAACUUCUGAAAAUUUGACCUCGGAUCAGGUAGGAAUACCCGCUGAACUUAAGCAUAUCA
This 552-nucleotide ribosomal RNA is filed under the name Cytospora punicae. Its description in RNAcentral is "eukaryotic LSU rRNA". The stretch from base 185 to 338 matches the Rfam family "5.8S ribosomal RNA". Lineage: Eukaryota; Fungi; Ascomycota; Sordariomycetes; Diaporthales; Cytosporaceae. The record is from RNAcentral.